Molecule: ribosomal RNA, 427 nt
Filed under: uncultured bacterium
Lineage: Bacteria
Description: bacterial SSU rRNA
Rfam family: Bacterial small subunit ribosomal RNA
Source: RNAcentral
UGGGGAAUUUUGGACAAUGGGGGCAACCCUGAUCCAGCCAUGCCGCGUGAGUGAAGAAGGCCUUCGGGUUGUAAAGCUCUUUCGGCCGGGAAGAAAUCGCACGGGCUAAUACCCUGUGUGGAUGACGGUACCGGAAUAAGAAGCACCGGCUAACUACGUGCCAGCAGCCGCGGUAAUACGUAGGGUGCGAGCGUUAAUCGGAAUUACUGGGCGUAAAGCGUGCGCAGGCGGUUAUGUAAGACAGAUGUGAAAUCCCCGGGCUCAACCUGGGAACUGCGUUUGUGACUGCAUAACUAGAGUACGGCAGAGGGAGGUGGAAUUCCGCGUGUAGCAGUGAAAUGCGUAGAUAUGCGGAGGAACACCGAUGGCGAAGGCAAUCCCCUGGACCUGUACUGACGCUCAUGCACGAAAGCGUGGGGAGCAAACA